Molecule: ribosomal RNA, 253 nt
Filed under: uncultured bacterium
Lineage: Bacteria
Description: partial 16S ribosomal RNA
Rfam family: Bacterial small subunit ribosomal RNA
Source: RNAcentral
UACGGGGGGGGCAAGCGUUGUUCGGAAUUACUGGGCGUAAAGGGCUCGUAGGCGGCCAACUAAGUCAGACGUGAAAUCCCUCGGCUUAACCGGGGAACUGCGUCUGAUACUGGAUGGCUAGAGAUUGGGAGAGGGAUGCGGAAUUCCAGGUGUAGCGGUGAAAUGCGUAGAUAUCUGGAGGAACACCGGUGGCGAAGGCGGCAUCCUGGACCAACACUGACGCUGAGGAGCGAAAGCGUGGGGAGCGAACAGG